GCCGGGCGUGGUGGCGCAUGCCUGUAAUCCCAGCUACCUGGGAGGCUGAGGCAGGAGAAUCGCUUGAACCCGGGAGGCGGAGGUUGCGGUGAGCCGAAAUCGUGACGCUGCACUCCAGCCUGGGCAACAGAGCAAGACCCUGUCUUUA
RNAcentral lists this non-coding RNA (148 nucleotides) under Pan troglodytes (chimpanzee). The record is from Rfam by way of RNAcentral. Lineage: Eukaryota; Metazoa; Chordata; Mammalia; Primates; Hominidae.